CCUCACAGCUAGGGACAACAUUUAGAAAUGAAUGCUAAUACCUAAUAUUAUGAUAAUAGGGCAUCCUAUAAUUAUGAAAGCUAUAUGCGCUGUGAGAGAGCUUUGCGUCCCAUUAGCUAGUUGGAGAGGUAACGGCUCACCAAGGCGAUGAUGGGUAGCCGGCCUGAGAGGGUGAUCGGCCACAAGGGGACUGAGACACGGCCCUUACUCCUACGGGAGGCAGCAGUGGGGAAUAUUGGACAAUGGACCGAGAGUCUGAUCCAGCAAUUCUGUGUGCACGAUGAAGUUUUUCGGAAUGUAAAGUGCUUUCAGUUGGGAAGAAAUAAAUGACGGUACCAACAGAAGAAGUGACGGCUAAAUACGUGCCAGCAGCCGCGGUAAUACGUAUGUCACGAGCGUUAUCCGGAUUUAUUGGGCGUAAAGCGCGUCUAGGUGGUUAUAUAAGUCUGAUGUGAAAAUGCAGGGCUCAACUCUGUAUUGCGUUGGAAACUGUAUAACUAGAGUACUGGAGAGGUAAGCGGAACUACAAGUGUAGAGGUGAAAUUCGUAGAUAUUUGUAGGAAUGCCGAUGGGGAAGCCAGCUUACUGGACAGAUACUGACGCUGAAGCGCGAAAGCGUGGGUAGCAAACAGGAUUAGAUACCCUGGUAGUCCACGCUGUAAACGAUGAUUACUAGGUGUUGGGGGUCGAACCUCAGCGCCCAAGCAAACGCGAUAAGUAAUCCGCCUGGGGAGUACGUACGCAAGUAUGAAACUCAAAGGAAUUGACGGC
RNAcentral lists this ribosomal RNA (771 nucleotides) under uncultured bacterium. RNAcentral describes it as "bacterial SSU rRNA". It matches the Rfam family "Bacterial small subunit ribosomal RNA", at positions 129 to 917 of the family's 1533-position model. The record is from RNAcentral.